UACGGGGGGAGCAAGCGUUGUUCGGAAUCACUGGGCGUAAAGGGCGUGUAGGCGGCUGGAUAAGUGGGAUGUUAAAUCCCCCGGCUCAACCGGGGACCUGCAUCUCAUACUGUUCAGCUCGAGCACAUCAGAGGAGACUGGAAUUCCCGGUGUAGCGGUGAAAUGCGUAGAUAUCUGGAGGAAUACCGGUGGCGAAGGCGGCAUCCUGGACCGACAUUGACGCUGAGGCGCGAAAGCUAGGGGAGCAAACGGG
RNAcentral lists this ribosomal RNA (253 nucleotides) under uncultured bacterium. RNAcentral describes it as "partial 16S ribosomal RNA". It matches the Rfam family "Bacterial small subunit ribosomal RNA", at positions 524 to 776 of the family's 1533-position model. The record is from RNAcentral.